UGACACUCAGCCCGUUGCUCUCCUAGCCUAUUUCCUGAUUUCUGAAGAGGACCACCUCAUAGUGCACUGAAAUCAGAUGCCUGAUGCUGCCAGGGCAGCUGGACGCUCUGGGCCCUGAGGCACUCAGACCCCAGGGGCUGGGCUGGCCCGCUGUCCUCUCCUUCCUCUACUUGGGUUCAGCGUUCUCUCCUUCCUUCUGCAAAGAGAACUUCGAGUUACUUCCCUUAUCUCCAUUCAUGGAGAUACCUUUUACAAGGGGAGGGGAGGUGGGCAGGACAAGGGAAUACUUCUCUCUCCCCCAGGACACCCCAGCAUUCGAGACAGAGGGAGGAGCUCACUUUGUAACCAGUGGUGGGGCUCUGGGAUUGGAGGUGCCCUCACUGCCCUGUUGUCAGAAUUUACAGAAAUAAAGAGGAUGGGGCUGCGUGGGCCUGUGCCUGCCUCCUCUUCAUCACAGCUGUGGCCCAGGAGGAGGGGUGAGGGAUGAGUACUCCUGAAAAAAGACCCGAGUGUCUCUCAGCAGCCCAGUGCUGUUCUCAAGCCUUCGUGAACUGGCCCUGAGGUUGGCCUCGUUACACUUCUGAUGACACAGGGCCUGGAGCGUGACAGUAGACAGGGCAGGGUCUUACUUUUGCCAUGUUAGCUGCCUGCCCUGACCAGAAAGAGGGCUGCAUUCCCAUCAGACUUACAGAAAAUCUCUCACUCUCAUCAUUUUCUAUUUCAAGCAACUGCAGACAAGGCAGUUUUGGAGGCAGCUCCAAAGGCUCAGGUACUGGGAGCUGGUCACUGCCUGAGCCUUGGGUGGAAGGGCUAGCUGGGUGGGGUGAUGGGAGGGGCAGCACAGGGCCCUGAGGCAGGGGAGGGGAAGGUGACACUGAGAAGCCUGGCGUCCUGCUUUGUGCUCCUAAACAGGUCACUCCUCAUUCCUGCUCAGCUGUGGUUUUCUCUUCUGCUGGGUGAGGCGCUGGCGCCAGCACCUGGGAUGCUCACCUGCACCCAUGGGUGCACACGUGUGUGUGCAUUCACUUCCCUGGCCAUGCUGUCCAUAUACGGGUGCAAACAGGUUCUGAGUGUGCAGGGACAGGUCUGCUUCAGGGCAGGCUCACCUUUAUGUGGCAUGGGGAGCCAGGAACUUGCCUGACCCCUCUGAGGUCAGACAAAGGACCCCAGAGAUCAGAGCUGAGAAGUCCUAUCUUCUGAUUAUGGGCAAACAGAGCCCAAAGAGGGUAGGGGUUUGGUUCAGGGCUUAGGCCUUCUGGCCAGGGCCACCCCUGAGGUUAAGAGUAGCUCUAAUUUUAAAAGGUCAAACCCAAGGUCCCUCCCGGCAUGUGUGUGGGAAAGAGUUUAUCAAGUGUCUGGGCAGCAGGGGGCAUGGGGAGAACAUAUUGUUGGCAAGGAGUCAUCCCUAUCACCUUAUGGCUAUACCUAUAGUUUUAUAGUUAAUAAAUCCGGUCACUUAAGUGGUCAUGUUUCACCCCAUAAGAAUCACAGGCAGAGUUGUCCUAAGUGUUGCUAAGUGUCCUAAGAGUUGCCCAGCCUUUGGUAGAGGGAAACCCAGGAUCAUGUAACUUAAGAAGAGGAAUUAAGACUAUAACAUAACAUUUAAAAUGAGACAAACUUUAGUUCACAAAAGGAUAAAUUUUUGAUGCUUACAGCUAUCUAAUAGAGCAAUAGCCUGCUUUGUUAAGUGGGGAGUUCCUCAUCCCUGGGGGUAUAUAACUAGUGUCUGGGUAUUUGCCUUGUGUGGU
Molecule: long non-coding RNA, 1748 nt
Organism: Phyllostomus discolor (pale spear-nosed bat)
Lineage: Eukaryota; Metazoa; Chordata; Mammalia; Chiroptera; Phyllostomidae
Exons: 3
Source: RefSeq, a predicted model, not a curated record